UAUAGUUUUUCGGAACUAGAGACCGGCGCACGGGUGCGUAACGCGUAUGCAAUCUACCUUUUACAGGGGGAUAGCCCAGAGAAAUUUGGAUUAAUACCCCAUAGUAUUAUUGAGUGGCAUCAUUUAGUAAUUAAAGUUCCAACGGUAAAAGAUGAGCAUGCGUCCCAUUAGCUAGAUGGUAAGGUAACGGCUUACCAUGGCAACGAUGGGUAGGGGUCCUGAGAGGGAGAUCCCCCACACUGGUACUGAGACACGGACCAGACUCCUACGGGAGGCAGCAGUGAGGAAUAUUGGUCAAUGGGCGCAAGCCUGAACCAGCCAUGCCGCGUGCAGGAUGACGGUCCUAUGGAUUGUAAACUGCUUUUGUACGAGAAGAAACACUCCUACGUGUAGGAGCUUGACGGUAUCGUAAGAAUAAGGAUCGGCUAACUCCGUGCCAGCAGCCGCGGUAAUACGGAGGAUCCAAGCGUUGUCCGGAAUCAUUGGGUUUAAAGGGUCCGUAGGCGGUUUGGUAAGUCAGUGGUGAAAGCCCAUCGCUCAACGGUGGAACGGCCAUUGAUACUGCCAGACUUGAAUUAUUGGGAAGUAACUAGAAUAUGUAGUGUAGCGGUGAAAUGCUUAGAGAUUACAUGGAAUACCAAUUGCGAAGGCAGGUUACUACCAAUUGAUUGACGCUGAUGGACGAAAGCGUGGGGAGCGAACAGGAUUAGAUACCCUGGUAGUCCACGCCGUAAACGAUGGAUACUAGCUGUUGGGAGCAAUUUCAGUGGCUAAGCGAAAGUGAUAAGUAUCCCACCUGGGGAGUACGGGCGCAAGCCUGAAACUC
RNAcentral lists this ribosomal RNA (826 nucleotides) under uncultured Flavobacterium sp. Its description in RNAcentral is "bacterial SSU rRNA". It matches the Rfam family "Bacterial small subunit ribosomal RNA", at positions 70 to 902 of the family's 1533-position model. The record is from RNAcentral. Lineage: Bacteria; Pseudomonadati; Bacteroidota; Flavobacteriia; Flavobacteriales; Flavobacteriaceae.